ACCGGAGCUCCUGGGCCGCAUUUCCCUGCAUCUGAUCUUUUGGGGGAGAAGAUAGAACCCUAAGAAACCUUGCAGGCAGCAACAAUUUUCUCCCCUUUCACAAAAGUAACAGUCAGCUUCACUUUUGAGCUAGACUUGGCCCAUGCCUUUCCUCAAAGAGUCCUCCUGGGGCCAUACCUCUCGCUAGUCAUGACACUGAUGAUGGUACUACCCAUCAGUGGUUUUAGAGUCGUCCCCCCCUUGUCUCCAGGAUCUUUAGUUGUAGGUCAGGGACUCUCUCUCAAAAUACCUGAUAUGGGUGCACCAAAAAUGCUUCCUGUAUUUCUAUAGUUGUUGGGGUCCGGGUGCUGAGUCCCAAGCUCCUGGUUCCAAAAGUCUCACAUUGAAAAAUAGCUACCAGGAAGAACGCAAAUAGCUAUCUCUUCUAUUUGGGAAGAGGACAAACACAACGUCGUGGAGCUGUAUAUGUCCACAUUCCUAGAUCGCCGGAGUCUAUUUCCUGAGCCUAGAUUAUGGUUCUGGUCCUGGAGCGAUGCUCUGGUUCCCCAGACCUUCCCUACCUAGGACAGAUGGUAACUAAUCCUCCGUCCCUGGCCAAAGCAAGCUCACAGUGCCCUCUUGUGUCCAAGUGCUGGAAUUUUAAGGCGUUGCCCGAGUUCCAAACUUGUUUUGUUCAGCUGAAGGAAGAGGGUUUUGUGGUUCCUAUUCUCCUUCUUAAAGUACAGACAAUGUCCUCGUGUGUAGCUUUAUAUCUCAAUGAUUUGACAUGAAAACCUUUGGUGUUUUGGGUUUCGGUUUUCCAGUAGUUUCAAAAAAAAAUACGCUUCAAGGGAACAGAAGUUCUCUGAAAAUACUUCUUCAGAACUUAAUAUUGUAUGCCAGGCAUCUCCGUUUAUGUCUAAUAUAUAUGUGGCUAUUGAUAGUGUUAUCCUCUAUCUUACAGAAAAAAGAAGAUACAUCUGUGGAACAUUCCCUCCUCAUUAGUUCGCUGUAGAGUAAGGGGCAGAUAACUAUGAAGAAAGAAACCCAGGGCCAGGCUUCCAGCCACUGGACGUCCUAGUUUCCCAGCAGUUGCUAGAGGGACCAGCAGGAAACCUUGGGCCGCUUAUAAAAGCCGAGUCUCUUAUUUAUUUCAGCUGUUUGUUUGAUUUCUAGAAAAGGAGGCUUAGAGCUCUUGAGUUUAUUGCCCUGGCUAUUCUUGCCCAACUUGUUUGAAAAGUCCAAUCACGCUACUUAAUAGUCCUUUGCUUUCUCAAACACAGCCUCUUCCCCUCCAGGAGCUUCAGGACAUUCAUUUUGUCUCGUUAAUCUUCAGCAAGCCAGUACUAACCGAGUCUGACCCAGAUCAGCUUCCAAGAGCAAACACACCCAGAGAGUGUGAAAUUGGACCUUGACAUUCAGAUCGCCUCUCACACACUUUGGUUUUUCAAGUGACUGUCAUACUCCCAGUCUUAGCCUUAAAGCCCCAAGAUCAUUUACCCCCACGAACCUUGACAAAUAUGUUUACCUUUUGCAAGCUAUUUUUGAUGGAUAAUGCUUUCUUGGAGGUUUUUUUUUUUUUCAUUAAAGAAAAGAAAUUCAAAAAGUAA
Molecule: non-coding RNA, 1589 nt
Organism: Rattus norvegicus (Norway rat)
Lineage: Eukaryota; Metazoa; Chordata; Mammalia; Rodentia; Muridae
Source: RefSeq, a predicted model, not a curated record